RNAcentral lists this unclassified non-coding RNA (391 nucleotides) under soil metagenome. Its description in RNAcentral is "partial contains 5.8S ribosomal RNA, internal transcribed spacer 2, and large subunit ribosomal RNA". The stretch from base 1 to 122 matches the Rfam family "5.8S ribosomal RNA", at positions 35 to 154 of the family's 154-position model. The record is from RNAcentral.
GAUGAAGAACGCAGCGAAAUGCGAUACUUGGUGUGAAUUGCAGAAUCCCGUGAACCAUCGAGUCUUUGAACGCAAGUUGCGCCCGAAGCCAUUAGGCCGAGGGCACGCCUGCCUGGGCGUCACACGUCGUUGCCCCCCCAUCUACUCCUUCGGGAUUGCGGGGGGCGGCUGAUGGCCUCCCGUGCGCCUCGUCGCGCGGUUGGCAUAAAUGCCAAGUCCUCGGCGACGCACGCCACGACAAUCGGUGGUUGCGAAACCUCGGUUGCCCGUCGUGUGCGGUCGUCGCGCAUCGAGGGCUCGAAAAAAUUGUCGGGCUCCGGCUCGGCUUUCAACGCGACCCCAGGUCAGGCGGGGUUACCCGCUGAAUUUAAGCAUAUCAAUAAGCGGAGGA